UCCUACGGGGCGCAGCCGUGAGGAAUAUUGGUCUAUGGUCGGGAGACUGAACCAGCCAAGCCGCGUGAGGGAUGAAGGUACAGAGUAUCGUAAACCUCUUUUGUCAGGGAACAAAGGCGGGGACGUGUCCCCGGAUGAGUGUACCUGAAGAAAAAGCAUCGGCUAACUCCGUGCCAGCAGCCGCGGUAAUACGGAGGAUGCGAGCGUUAUCCGGAUUUAUUGGGUUUAAAGGGUGCGCAGGCGGUCUGUUAAGUCAGCGGUCAAAGCCCGGGGCUCAACCCCGGCCCGCCGUUGAAACUGGCAGG
Molecule: ribosomal RNA, 305 nt
Filed under: uncultured bacterium
Lineage: Bacteria
Description: bacterial SSU rRNA
Rfam family: Bacterial small subunit ribosomal RNA
Source: RNAcentral